This 450-nucleotide ribosomal RNA is filed under the name uncultured Myxococcales bacterium. RNAcentral describes it as "bacterial SSU rRNA". It matches the Rfam family "Bacterial small subunit ribosomal RNA", at positions 341 to 792 of the family's 1533-position model. Lineage: Bacteria; Pseudomonadati; Myxococcota; Myxococcia; Myxococcales. The record is from RNAcentral.
ACGGAAGGCAGCAGUGGGGAAUAUUGCGCAAUGGGCGGAAGCCUGACGCAGCGACGCCGCGUGGGGGAUGACGGCCUUCGGGUUGUAAACCUCUUUCGAUCGGGACGAAGCCUUCCGUUGGGGGGGUGACGGUACCGGUAGAAGAAGCACCGGCCAACUACGUGCCAGCAGCCGCGGUAACACGUAGGGUGCGAGCGUUGUCCGGAAUUAUUGGGCGUAAAGAGCUCGUAGGCGGUGUGUCGCGUCGGCCGUGAAAACCUGUGGCUUAACUGUGGGCUUGCGGUCGAUACGGGCAUCACUGGAGUUCGGCAGGGGAGACUGGAAUUCCUGGUGUAGCGGUGAAAUGCGCAGAUAUCAGGAGGAACACCGGUGGCGAAGGCGGGUCUCUGGGCCGAUACUGACGCUGAGGAGCGAAAGCGUGGGGAGCGAACAGGAUUAGAUACCCUGGUA